This 465-nucleotide ribosomal RNA is filed under the name uncultured bacterium. RNAcentral describes it as "bacterial SSU rRNA". It matches the Rfam family "Bacterial small subunit ribosomal RNA", at positions 330 to 792 of the family's 1533-position model. The record is from RNAcentral.
GCCAGACUCCUACGGGAGGCAGCAGUGAGGAAUAUUGGUCAAUGGGCGGAAGCCUGAACCAGCCAAGUCGCGUGAGGGAAUAAGGCCCUACGGGUCGUAAACCUCUUUUGCCGGGGAGCAAGGGCGGGGACGUGUCCCGGCCCGGAGAGUACCCGGAGAAAAAGCAUCGGCUAACUCCGUGCCAGCAGCCGCGGUAAUACGGAGGAUGCGAGCGUUAUCCGGAUUUAUUGGGUUUAAAGGGUGCGUAGGCGGGCAUUUAAGCCGGCGGUCAAAUGUCGGGGCUCAACCCCGGCCUGCCGUCGGAACUGGGUGCCUUGAGUGGGCGAGAAGUAUGCGGAAUGCGUGGUGUAGCGGUGAAAUGCAUAGAUAUCACGCAGAACCCCGAUUGCGAAGGCAGCAUACCGGCGCCCUACUGACGCUGAGGCACGAAAGUGCGGGUAUCGAACAGGAUUAGAUACCCCGGUA